GACGGAAGGUGCAAGCGUUGCUCGGAAUCAUUGGGCGUAAAGGGUGCGUAGGCGGCUUGGUGGGUCUGGUGUGAAAGCCCCGGGCUUAGCCCGGGAAGGGCGCUAGAAACUGCUCGGCUUGAAUAUGGAAGAGGGUCGCGGAAUUCCCGGUGUAGAGGUGAAAUUCGUAGAUAUCGGGAGGAACACCAGUGGCGAAGGCGGCGACCUGGGCCAAUAUUGACGCUGAGGUGCGAAAGCGUGGGGAGCAAACAGG
RNAcentral lists this ribosomal RNA (253 nucleotides) under uncultured prokaryote. RNAcentral's name for it is "partial 16S ribosomal RNA". It matches the Rfam family "Bacterial small subunit ribosomal RNA", at positions 524 to 776 of the family's 1533-position model. The record is from RNAcentral.